This 703-nucleotide ribosomal RNA is filed under the name unidentified microorganism. Its description in RNAcentral is "bacterial SSU rRNA". It matches the Rfam family "Bacterial small subunit ribosomal RNA", at positions 53 to 762 of the family's 1533-position model. The record is from RNAcentral.
ACAUGCAAGUCGAACGGGUAGUANCNAUACUACUAGUGGCGCACGGGUGCGUAACGCGUAACCAACCUGCCCUUGACUGGGGGAUAGCCCGCCGAAAGGCGGAUUAAUACCGCAUAAACUAGCAGCCUGGCAUCAGGCAACUAGUAAAGAUUUAUUGGUCAAGGAUGGGGUUGCGUGACAUUAGCUAGUUGGCGGGGUAAGGGCCCACCAAGGCGACGAUGUCUAGGGGAGCUGAGAGGCUGAUCCCCCACACUGGCACUGAGAUACGGGCCAGACUCCUACGGGAGGCAGCAGUAGGGAAUAUUGGGCAAUGGGCGAGAGCCUGACCCAGCCAUGCCGCGUGCCGGAUGAAGGCCUUCUGGGUUGUAAACGGCUUUUCUCAGGGAAGAAAACGACCAUGCGUGGUACACUGACGGUACCUGAGGAAUAAGCACCGGCUAACUCCGUGCCAGCAGCCGCGGUAAUACGGAGGGUGCAAGCGUUGUCCGGAUUUAUUGGGUUUAAAGGGUGCGUAGGUGGUUUGAUAAGUCCGGGGUGAAAGCCCACAGCUCAACUGUGGAACUGCCCUGGAUACUGUCAGACUUGAGGGUAGACGAGGUUGGCGGAAUAGAAGGUGUAGCGGUGAAAUGCAUAGAUACCUUCUAGAACCCCGAUUGCGUAGGCAGCUGACUAGGCUACACCUGACACUGAGGCACGAAAGCGU